AUAAAGAGACAUGCUAAGAAGUUUGUCUAUGAAAUAACAGCUGAAUUCAGUACUUAAAAUCUAGUCAAAACUAAUACUUAGAAAAUUAAAUCUAGUUGUCAUCCGUCAAAAUUGAAACAUCAAGAAAGAAGAAAACCAGUAAUAAGUCUCAUCAUUCUGAAGGUAAAUUAAAAGCAGUUAAAAGAUUAUACCUCGUCAAGGGAAAAUCAAUCAAAUAACAAGAUAAGAACGCGUUUCGAACCUGACCUCCCAGGUCCCAGAACAUAAGUUUUGUGUUUGACAAUUCAACUCGACCAAUGUUGAGUCCUACAGUUGGAACAAUUCGAUCAGCAGGAAGCCCUUCCACAUUACAAUAUUGUGACUUCAAUUUCUCCAGUACUGUCUGCAAAUUUACAUUCCAAAUGAGUUUAAAACAAUUACAGAUAUUAGAGUUGACUACAAACAGGCAACAUGCAGAGCUUAUAUACUUUUACAAAAGACAAGAUGGCAUGUCUCUGUGGAUACGAAGCAAGAAUGUGGAGGGGUGAGGGGGUUUGACAUCAUAAUUCCAUAGAUUGUUCUAUAUUCAAGUAUCAACUCAUCCAUCGAUUGAUGUAGAUGAGAAUAACAAUCCUGGAAAACCUUGUGUUUGCAGAAAACGAAUAAUACUGGAGCAUGUUACCGUUUUUCCAGCCUUGUCGAUUCCGAGAAUGAGAACAUGAAACUCUGUCUUGCUGAAGGCAUACUUCCACAGUCCAUAAAAUAGAGAAAACAUUUCUCUCUUGUUUUAUUUACUCUGUUAUAACUUUUAUUAGGGUUGCUUAAUUUGACCGAUACUAACAUUGCUCAUUCUUUGACUCUAAGAUUUUCCUGUUAUUUAUUGUGUAUCAGAAGUGUUACUAAUUUGCAUAGAGACUUUAGAUGCAUUAUAUUUUAUUAGAAAAUUUUCAUUUGAGGUCCCUAAACUCUGAUAAAUGGUGCAAGUAUGUUCUCCACCAACUAAAUAGAGCACCUGGCCCCCAACUUUCAUAAAUGUGCCCCCAACUUUCAUAAAUGUGCACGUUUUUUGUCAGGUGGGACUCUGCUGUCACAUUUAGGUGAUCUUAUUCAUGUGUGAAGACUCCAACCGAGAUUUUUUCUCUAAUAAAAUAUUAUGUAUAGUCAGCCACACAAGUUUCUUUAAACAAAGGAGUAGUUGAUCGUCCAUGGCUAUACAUUUGAAUUCAAUAAUGGAGAAAAAUAUUCCAAAAAGGUGACUGGACUUUUGAGUAUUUACAAAUUAUAUAAUGCACCAUCACCUCCCAGUUCUUCUCGCUCAGGCUCAACCACUGAAACAAUGGCCCUGCAAUUAUGGGAGGCCCUCAAGGAAUCGAUAACAGCAUACACAGGUCUAUCUCCGUCCACUUUCUUUUCAGUUCUUUCUUUGGGGCUUACCCUUUACUACAUGGUCUCAAAUCUAUUUGGGUCCUCCGAUGAUGGGCCGGGGUCUUACCAAGAAAGGUCCAAAGAACCCGAAGAGAAGGUGCAGCCUCUCCCUCCUCCGGUUCAGCUUGGGGAUAUCGCUGAUGAGGAGUUGAAGCAGUAUGAUGGGUCUGAUAAAAGUAAACCUUUGCUCAUGGCUAUCAAGGGUCAGAUCUAUGAUGUUUCACAGAGCAGGUAUAUCUGGAUUUUAUCAAGAUCAUUUUCAGAUGUAUUGAGGUUAAAGUAACUGAAAUUUCAACACAUAAGAUCAUUUGUUGGGUUACAGGUUGUUUUAUGGACCAGGAGGACCUUAUGCUUUGUUUGCCGGAAAAGAUGCGAGUCGAGCUCUUGCAAAGAUGUCCUUUGAAAAAAAUGAUCUUAAUGGCGAUCUUACUGGCCUUGGUGCAUUUGAGCUCGAGGCCUUGCAAGAUUGGGAGUACAAGUUCAUGAGCAAAUACGUCAAGGUUGGAACUGUCAAGUCGAGCAUACAAGUGACUGAUGGUCCUGAAAUCGAUUCUGCUAAGCCGACAGAAGAUGCUCAGUCAGUAAGUUCUGUCCCGGAAAUUGUGGAAGCCGUGCCCAAUGUUGAUGCGGAUAAGAAAGAGUCCGGAAAUUGUGGAAGCCGUGCCCAAUGUUGAUGCGGAUAAGAAAGAGUGAUUUUCGUCAAGGGGCGAGCCAUUAUUCGUGGAGGUGUUAGUAGAUCACAAUAUUUGGCUGCCUGCAUUUAUAGAUGUUCGUCUUUAGAGUAAGAUACACCUUGUAUAAUUGAACUUAUUGAACAUCCAGUUUGUUGUAUUAAAUAAUGGACUUUGCUACAUGAACAUUGGGGACUACAUAAAGGUGUUUAUAAUGAACACCCGGCACCUCGACAUUGGCCGAGGUGCUUGCCACGUAAGGGUCCACAGGCACCUCGGCCAAUGAAGAGGCGCCAGUUGUCCAUUAUGGACACCCGAAUGUAGUUUCCAAUGUACAACAAGCAUAAUCCUUAAAUAAUAAUGUUGUUAUGUCGUUAUUUCUUGGGGGGAUUUUACAUAAUAUUGUCCUUCUGGAAAGAACAAAUUUAUGGUGGCAAUUUGCAACUAUUUGACAAAUUUAUGGUGGCAAUUUGCUACUAUUUGGCGUUUUUGGUUUUAAUAAUUUUUAUUAAGCUUGGACUUGCAAAUCUCGACUAAGGUUAAUUAAACUUGUUCUACUUUCAUACCUUAAUUAGCCGACCUAUACCCCAAACAGGAAAGAACCGGUCCUCAUGAUGCAGUGAGAACUAAGAAGACGAUCUUUGUCCACAAAUUUAAACCGGUUUAGUUCGUAAAUAAUAGAAAAUCUGUAAGACAGUUUUCUAUCUUAACAUUACCAAAAAGAUGAAAAAAAAAAAAAAAAAAAAAAAAGGUCUAAAGCAUAAUGAAUUCCAGAUUAUUUUUAAGAUUCAAACUAUUUCAACAUCAGAAGUCAUAGGUCAUUAAAAAUACUCCACUAAUAAUCAGAAUCAAGAGGUUUUUUACUUACCCAUCAAUUGCUGAAACAGCUUGAAAUGUGUAAAGUCUCUCAUCCAAUUUUUUGAGGUCCAGAUACCGAGAAAGUUCUUCUGCGGAUGCAGCUUCUGCACGAUCCUGAAAAUAAAUAUGUAGUCAUCGAAGUGGAGCAAUGUCUUUCACUUUUGCACUCACAAUUUGUUAGGUUAGAUGCAAAUAUGAUGAUAAUUUUCAAGUUUCUAUAGUUUUCCACUUUGCAAAGUGGUGCCAGAAACAGAGGUGGAUCUUCCAAGCUAAUGAGAGCAACUAUCGAAUAACAUGUGCUGGCUGCAGACACGGAUAUACCGAUGCAAAAUUUUCAAGUAGGAAGUAGAUGCUUGGAGACACGUUUAUGAAAAUAUUACAGUUAAAUAUAUUAUAUUUACAUUUUAUUUCUUUUUUUAUUUAAAUGGGGAAAAAAAACUUUUGCUCAGUUUCGAUUUUUAACCUUUUGAUCACGAGUGACUAUUUGUAGUACUUAAAAUCUCUAGUAAGACUGUAUUAAAUAAUUGCAAUAGUAGAUAUAAAUAGAUAAAACACGAACCUCAUACAAUUUUUUUCCUUUGCAUUCUGUUUAUUAUUUUAUACAAAUUAUUUAAUAAAAUAAAAUAUUUCCUACUUUUAUAUUCUAAAAUCAACAAAAUUGGGCUUGUCUUGUUGAGGAAAUGUGCCUCACUGCCAGAAAGUAAAAGAGCCUAAAAAUAUAGUACAAACAAUGUAGAAUGGUGGCUGUAUGUCAUUAAAGUAUCCAUGGUACAAACUGAAAAAAGUAGAACAGCCUACGUGGUGUAUCGAACAAUCCUCAAGUCUACAAGGAGUAUUGAUGUUUCAUACGCAUCGGUUCUGUUUCAUAGAAUGACACAAUUUGAUUGAUAAUAGAAACAUCAACUAGAAAGAUGCAAGAAGUCUAUCACAAUCAAUAUUGGGCAAUAGAAUCUAUGCUCUCUCACAAUGCACAUUGGAAAAACGCAAAAGGGGAAAAGUAAAGUAGAUUUUCCUUCACAAUUCAUUUGCUUUAGGUCAAUGCUAAGUUGCUAACUUAGUGGGUGACAGAAGGAACAGCUUACCUGUUUGUUUGCUAUUAUCAAAAGUGGGGCUCCUUGCAAAUCCUCAUGCUGAAGAACCUUCUCUGAACAUCAUAUUGAAAAUAAGGUCAGAAACAGGUCACAAAAUCAAUUAAAAAGACCACAAUUGUAACAUGAAUCAUCAUCAGUCAAGUCAACAUACACUUCUCCCUAGCAAUGCUUACCGAGUGCAGAUUUUGAAUCUUCAAAACGAGAAGGGCUAGCCGCAUCAACUACAUAAAUCACCGCAUGUGCCUCUUCAUAAUAUUUCUCCCAAAUUGAGCGAAGUCCAGGCUGAUGAAACAUAAUACUUUCCAUCAGUGGUAGAACUCUCAGGAUGAAGUAAACAUAAAUAAAGAGACAUGCUAAGAAGUUUGUCUAUGAAAUAACAGCUGAAUUCAGUACUUAAAAUCUAGUCAAAACUAAUACUUAGAAAAUUAAAUCUAGUUGUCAUCCGUCAAAAUUGAAACAUCAAGAAAGAAGAAAACCAGUAAUAAGUCUCAUCAUUCUGAAGGUAAAUUAAAAGCAGUUAAAAGAUUAUACCUCGUCAAGGGAAAAUCAAUCAAAUAACAAGAUAAGAACGCGUUUCGAACCUGACCUCCCAGGUCCCAGAAUAUAAGUUUUGUGUUUGACAAUUCAACUCGACCAAUGUUGAGUCCUACAGUUGGAACAAUUCGAUCAGCAGGAAGCCCUUCCACAUU
RNAcentral lists this long non-coding RNA (4713 nucleotides) under Olea europaea (common olive). Its description in RNAcentral is "long non-coding RNA (OEUR_LNC004703)". The record is from RNAcentral. Lineage: Eukaryota; Viridiplantae; Streptophyta; Magnoliopsida; Lamiales; Oleaceae.